AAUCCAUAGGUUAAUGAGGCGAACCGGGGGAACUGAAACAUCUAAGUACCCCGAGGAAAAGAAAUCAACCGAGAUUCCCCCAGUAGCGGCGAGCGAACGGGGAGGAGCCCAGAGCCUGAAUCAGCAUGUGUGUUAGUGGAAGCGUCUGGAAAGGCGCGCGAUACAGGGUGACAGCCCCGUACACAAAAGCGCAUGUGCUGUGAGCUCGAUGAGUAGGGCGGGACACGUGGUAUCCUGUCUGAAUAUGGGGGGACCAUCCUCCAAGGCUAAAUACUCCUGACUGACCGAUAGUGAACCAGUACCGUGAGGGAAAGGCGAAAAGAACCCCGGCGAGGGGAGUGAAAAAGAACCUGAAACCGUGUACGUACAAGCAGUGGGAGCACAGGUUUACCUGUGUGACUGCGUACCUUUUGUAUAAUGGGUCAGCGACUUAUAUUCUGUAGCAAGGUUAACCGAAUAGGGGAGCCGGAGGGAAACCGAGUCUUAAUUGGGCGUUAAGUUGCAGGGUAUAGACCCGAAACCCGGUGAUCUAGCCAUGGGCAGGUUGAAGGUUGGGUAACACUAACUGGAGGACCGAACCGACUAAUGUUGAAAAAUUAGCGGAUGACCUGUGGCUGGGGGUGAAAGGCCAAUCAAACCGGGAGAUAGCUGGUUCUCCCCGAAAGCUAUUUAGGUAGCGCCUCGUGAAUUCAUCUCCGGGGGUAGAGCACUGUUUCGGCUAGGGGGCCAUCCCGGCUUACCAACCCGAUGCAAACUGCGAAUACCGGAGAAUGUUAUCACGGGAGACACACGGCGGGUGCUAACGUCCGUCGUGAAGAGGGAAACAACCCAGACCGCCAGCUAAGGUCCCAAAGUCAUGGUUAAGUGGGAAACGAUGUGGGAAGGCCCAGACAGCCAGGAUGUUGGCUUAGAAGCAGCCAUCAUUUAAAGAAAGCGUAAUAGCUCACUGGUCGAGUCGGCCUGCGCGGAAGAUGUAACGGGGCUAAACCAUGCACCGAAGCUGCGGCAGCGACACUCAGGUGUUGUUGGGUAGGGGAGCGUUCUGUAAGCCUGCGAAGGUGGCCUGUGAGGGUUGCUGGAGGUAUCAGAAGUGCGAAUGCUGACAUAAGUAACGAUAAAGCGGGUGAAAAGCCCGCUCGCCGGAAGACCAAGGGUUCCUGUCCAACGUUAAUCGGGGCAGGGUGAGUCGACCCCUAAGGCGAGGCCGAAAGGCGUAGUCGAUGGGAAACGGGUUAAUAUUCCCGUACUUGGUGUUACUGCGAAGGGGGGACGGAGAAGGCUAUGUUGGCCGGGCGACGGUUGUCCCGGUUUAAGCGUGUAGGUGUGUGUUCCAGGUAAAUCCGGUUCACUUUAACACUGAGGCGUGAUGACGAGGCACUACGGUGCUGAAGCAACAAAUGCCCUGCUUCCAGGAAAAGCCUCUAAGCAUCAGGUAACAUCAAAUCGUACCCCAAACCGACACAGGUGGUCAGGUAGAGAAUACCAAGGCGCUUGAGAGAACUCGGGUGAAGGAACUAGGCAAAAUGGUGCCGUAACUUCGGGAGAAGGCACGCUGACACGUAGGUGAAGUGAUUUACUCACGGAGCUGAAGUCAGUCGAAGAUACCAGCUGGCUGCAACUGUUUAUUAAAAACACAGCACUGUGCAAACACGAAAGUGGACGUAUACGGUGUGACGCCUGCCCGGUGCCGGAAGGUUAAUUGAUGGGGUCAGCGCAAGCGAAGCUCCUGAUCGAAGCCCCGGUAAACGGCGGCCGUAACUAUAACGGUCCUAAGGUAGCGAAAUUCCUUGUCGGGUAAGUUCCGACCUGCACGAAUGGCGUAAUGAUGGCCAGGCUGUCUCCACCCGAGACUCAGUGAAAUUGAACUCGCUGUGAAGAUGCAGUGUACCCGCGGCAAGACGGAAAGACCCCGUGAACCUUUACUAUAGCUUGACACUGAACAUUGAGCCUUGAUGUGUAG
RNAcentral lists this ribosomal RNA (1960 nucleotides) under Salmonella enterica subsp. enterica serovar Newport. RNAcentral describes it as "partial 23S ribosomal RNA". It matches the Rfam family "Bacterial large subunit ribosomal RNA", at positions 161 to 2141 of the family's 2925-position model. Lineage: Bacteria; Pseudomonadati; Pseudomonadota; Gammaproteobacteria; Enterobacterales; Enterobacteriaceae. The record is from RNAcentral.